This 819-nucleotide ribosomal RNA is filed under the name uncultured eukaryote. RNAcentral describes it as "SSU rRNA". It matches the Rfam family "Eukaryotic small subunit ribosomal RNA", at positions 629 to 1426 of the family's 1831-position model. The record is from RNAcentral.
CGGUGUUUAACUGGCGUGAUGUGGGACGUCCUACCGGUGGGCUUAGCCUCGCGAGGGGCGGCCCAACUAAUAUCCCGUCGCGGUGCUCUUUACUGAGUGUCGAGUCGGGCCGGUACGUUUACUUUGAACAAAUUAGAGUGCUUAAAGCAGGCUAUCCUCGCCUGAAUACUGCGUGCAUGGAAUAAUGGAAUAGGACCUCGGUUCUAUUUUGUUGGUUUUCGGAACCCCGAGGUAAUGAUUAAUAGGGACAGAUGGGGGCAUUCGUAUUGCGACGUUAGAGGUGAAAUUCUUGGAUCGUCGCAAGACGGACAGAAGCGAAAGCAUUUGCCAAAAAUGUUUUCAUUAAUCAAGAACGAAAGUUAGAGGUUCGAAGGCGAUCAGAUACCGCCCUAGUUCUAACCAUAAACGAUGCCAGCUAGCGAUCCGCCGAAGUUCCUCCGAUGACUCGGCGGGCAGCUUCCGGGAAACCAAAGCUUUUGGGUUCCGGGGGAAGUAUGGUUGCAAAGCUGAAACUUAAAGGAAUUGACGGAAGGGCACCACCAGGAGUGGAGCCUGCGGCUUAAUUUGACUCAACACGGGAAACCUCACCAGGCCCAGACACCGGAAGGAUUGACAGAUUGAUAGCUCUUUCUUGAUUCGGUGGGUGGUGGUGCAUGGCCGUUCUUAGUUGGUGGAGCGAUUUGUCUGGUUAAUUCCGAUAACGAACGAGACUCUACCCUGCUAAAUAGGCGUACCUUAUGGUAUCGCGAAGGCCCCCGGCUUCGGCCGGUGGGUUUUUACUACCAACGUACAAACAAAUCUUCUUAGAGGGACAGGCGG